Molecule: long non-coding RNA, 27129 nt
Organism: Monodelphis domestica (gray short-tailed opossum)
Lineage: Eukaryota; Metazoa; Chordata; Mammalia; Didelphimorphia; Didelphidae
Source: RefSeq, a predicted model, not a curated record
UUUGCAUUUGCCAUUAGGGCAUCAGCCUUUCUCAAGAGGAAAAGAAAUCAACAACUGUUUUUCUUUACUUUCAUUUUCUGAUUCCAAAUAUUCUUUUAUUUUGAGUGGGUAGCACUGGGUAUCAGUUCUUUUUAUCCCAUUCACUAGUAUAAUAACUAGCUUUUAUUUUUAUACCCACUUUUAGAAGCCAGAAAAUACAUGAGUUCUAAGCAAAGAACAUUUAAUAAAACUUAAACAAAAAUAGCAACCACCUAAUUUUGAAGACUUGGGAAGAAUACACCAGUUAGGGAAGGAGUUUUCGAUAUAGGAAAUAUAGCAUGUUCAGUGGUGGUUGGGUCUAAACAGAAUAUUGUGAGUUUGGGACUGAUCUAAAGCUACAUUUAUGUCCUAGAAUUAGAAAGGUUACAGACUGUGAACUUCUUAAUCCAGACAGAACCAUGGGAAGUGUUUACAUCGCACACUCCAAAAAGAGAGGAAAUUCUCUCAAGAAGCAAGUCUCUCAUUUUUGUGAAGGGACCUGUGUAAGAUUCUGAGUUCAGAACAAAAGAAAAAUCCUUUACUCGAUCUGAAAUACUUCUUUUCUAACCAAGUGUAUUAAUAUUUAUUUUCUUUCUUCAUUUUCCCCUAAAAUUACAUUUAAAAUUGGUUAUGUUUCCUUAAGUAAACUAUUUGAAAUUUUAAUGCAAAGACUAGGCACCUGAUUCUCUCUCUGUCUCUGUCUCUCUCUGUCUCUGUCUCUCUUCCUCCCUCCCCCCUUUCUCUUUUUCUCUAUCACUCUUUUUCCAAAAAACCUAGGAAUGUAAUAAAAGUGAAUGAGAGCUCAAUUUUCUUUGGGUUGUUUGCCUCCAAAAGGAACCUGUGCAUUUCUCCAGACUCCAACAGUCACAGAACCCAGGUGCCAACUGUCACAUUCUAUAAUUCUAUAUAUCUGCCUGAUGGUUUCCCUGGACUCCAUUUCCCUCAAUGCAAUCCUUUUGAGAGGUCUAGACACUGGCUAAAUCUCAAAAUACAUAGUUCAAGAAUGUUCCCUCAGGAAGUGUGAGGUCCUGGGAAGACAUAGGAGCCUAGUAAAAAGAAAAGUGAGCAAGGUAUCAGGAAACCUAGACCUCAAAACCCAAACUUAACCCAUAGCCAUUCCAUUAAUAUAUGAGGCAUCAGGCUGAAGCUUCAAGAAAGAAUAGGGACAGUGUGAGGACCAAGUUUCCCUCUCAGGAUGUAAGAGGGAGAGAAGCAUAUUUGCCCCAUUAUUUUAUCCAGAUUACUGAUCUAGUGGACCAUUUGGUCAAGGUUAAAAUUUGGAAGAAUUCUCAUUCAUACUAAUGUCCAGGGAAAAUUUUUUAUAAUUGUGAGGACCAGACUACUGCAGAAAGAUGAUGGGUGUAGCCUAAAUUUCAUUAUAUUUAAGACUUUGGGUCAGGGAUACAUCUGUAGAGAGCCUCUAGGCCAUUAUUUAGUCCUAAUCAACAAGUCAAAAGUAUUGGACCAGAGUCUCAGCUGGUCCUUUACCAUGUAUUGGCCAAUGGACGGAGAUGACUUUUUCCUACUUUCCAUGCUCUGUUCAUUGGUGCCUUUAUCACAAGAAGAGAAAAAGUGUCAAUUUUCAGUUAACUACAGGAUCAAUAUUUUAUUUUACUUACUAUUAUUAUUAUUCCAAAUGUUUACACAACCAAACAUUUCCAUAUAUAAAGAAAAAGAAGUUAUUACACAAAUGAAAUCACAAAUCUAUAUAUUUAGCUUAUUUUUCUUCAUUUAUUUAUUAUAUAUUAUAGCAUUUAUUUAUUAUUAAGCAUAUUUAGCUUAUUAUAGCUCCUGUCUACAAGUAUCUCAGCCCUUCUCCAACUUCCCUAUCUAAAUUCCCAUUGGAUAAUGUCAGAGACCAACAUGUUCAGAUAAAUUAAGUCUUUCAUGUCUUAUUUUUCUUUUCACUUUUUUAGUUCUGUGGCUGUGUAUAAUGUUCUCCUCCUUCUACUCAUUUCGCUUUUCAUUAUCUUAUGUAGAUCUGUGUGGAACAGGGAGCACAAACAAUGGACCCCUCCGUUUAAAUGAAUACAUAAUCUCAGAGUCAGAAGCCAAAGUAUAAGACAGUAGCUUAUUGUACCUUCUUAAAAAGACUUAGCUCUGGCUAGAGAUGGGUUCUGGAAAUCACAGCACAUGGGUCAGGGUCCCAGUCCACAGCUCAAGUGUACACAGACCUGGGAUGUGACUGACAAACCUGAGUAUGCAAACCUAAACAUUCCUCAGAGAGAUCUCUGGUGGUCAUGUGGAAGGACCACGUGGAAGCAAGUCUUGUAUAACUGGACAGGGACUUGUGCCUUGGUGAAAUUGGCCAUUCCAUUUAUGAUGGUGUACUUGAACCAUUCUACCCAAUCAAAUCAGUUAAGGAAAAGGAGAGAUGCCUAAAUUUCUCCUCAUGGCUCCUUUGAUUAAUCAGUCUAUUUAGAUGCAAAGGGAGUACUGGGUUCUUUGAGAGGCUAGGAAUAUCUUUCUCUCCAUCACUUGCAAGAAUAGAGAAGUUAAAUGGAAUGAGUAGCCAAACUGGAAGGAAAAGAAAUUGAUUUGUGCACUAAAGAAGAUUGAUUGGGCCCAUAGCAGAUUCAGCCUCUUUGGGUAUAGAUUGGGUUUUCAUAGCUUUUUAGGUGGACUUAAAGAACCCAGGCUCCUACAGUGGACAAGAAAUGGGGUUGGCAGGUAUGAUUGGUGGGGAAGGAAGAGUUUGAAGAUCUCAAAAUCUCAGAAACUGAUAAAGAUCAAGUUUGGUCCUGUGGGAAAAUACAUUUCUCUUUGAUUAGUAAUCUCUAAAAUAGUGGAGGACUCCUUUAAAUUACAACCAAUCCUAUGAUUUGCUUUUAAGGGGAAUAAAGUACCACCUGAGGGUGUCUAUUGACACAACCCCACAGCUCAGUUUCUUUGACCUCAGACAAAAUGUUUACCCCAGAUGUGCCAGAUUCAUGUUCUUCUUCCCCUUCAACCCUGCUCCCUAUUCCUAAAGGCAACAAUGGAGUUGUCUCUUCCAUUCUUGUGGUAUUUACAAUAAUUUUUUGCAUCUUGUGGUCUAGUCUUCAGCAGCCGCCUUGGUCCAGGUCCUUCUCAAAAGUUUUUGUCACCAGGUCAAGUCAGGGUUGAUACCAAUCCUUUGCAAUGGAAGCUCUUCCUUAACAAAUCACUUUGCUCUUUCACUGUUCUGUCAACAUCUGGCUUCCACUGGGUAGUGUAUACUCCCAGGAGACAGCCCUGACCUUUUUGCCUGGACCUUGGCUUUUAAUUUGUGUACUGAGCUCCCAGCAAGGCAACUCCUUUUACCAAUGCAGCUUGGUACCUCUUCUGCAAUUUCCACUUUUAGAGAGUUCCUUGGGGCACUGAGAGAUUAAAUGACAUUACAUUAGCCUCUGAAUGACUUACCUGGGUUCCCACCACAAAUAUGUAUCAAAAAUAGGACUUGAAGCUACUUAACUCUGACUCUGAGCAGGAUUAAUGCAAAGUAUAAAAAAUGGAUUAUGACUUAUCUGAAUGAAAAGGGUAUAGGUGAAACAUCUCUGCCACACAAAUACCACGCAGAUGCCUCAUGCUUACCUCUACAGGCAUUGACCUCACUUCAAGGCUAAAGCUGUUUUGUGUGAAGACUAUAAGUCUGAACUGUAGACAAAUCCUUCAUAUACCUUUAAUCCCAGAUUGGGGUCACUGCUGGCCUAAUAAAACCAAAUCACCAGACUAAAGUUGAUUUCAUCAAGUGAGAGAUGCUGGGCCAAGCCUGCAGCUGCCUGGUUGCAGCAGGGCACAACCUCUGGCACUGGGCUACAGGCACACAGUGAUUCCACCAAGCUACUCAGUUUAGCUUGUGCGGUGAUAUGAAAACAUUCAAUCUGAAGAAAUGUGUCAAGGGUAAAGCUUGGGAGGGAUCACCUUCUGUCCUGUCUUCUAGCAAUUAUUUUUCUGCCACAAAUGUGGAUUGACAGUCACAGCUGUGCCAUCACCAUGUCCCCUAGACCAGGUCAAAACAAAGGCCAUACCUGAGGGUAUGGGCCAAAGAAGAAUUGGCCAAUAAAUAGAAAGGUGGGCCCAAACCAUCUUACUAUUUUUCAGAGUUACUAACCAGAUAAGGUAAGCUCUAAGAGGCAAGGUCCUGGUUACAAUGUUAGGGACACUUAAGAGCCAUUGUUUUCAUGGCACUUGGCACUAACCAUUAACCAUUAAACUGAGGUUAUACCAAUUCUAAGUAACUAGGCCAUAAAUCCAUAAUCCAAGGGAUUAAUCAAAAGGACAGAAUGUUUCAUUGGUACCAGGCCUUGUCAGUAGGAAGAUCUCAAGUGCUGACAACUAGGCUUGAAUACUAGGAUAAAAAUCCACUGUGACACAACCACUGGGCUAAAGCCAAUAUAGGUCCACAGCACCUCCCUGAUGUUGUGAUAGGCUGUGACUGCUAGCCCACAGAGAUGAGGAGAUUGAGUUUGCAAUAAGCCUUGGAAGCCUGUCCCAUUGAAAAGUUAGGCCUGAGCAAUGGAAUGAAGUUCAUUUUGGAGUUCGACCACUAGUCCCUUGUCCCUACUGGAUACCUAUCAUUAGGCACUGACUGUCCUAUAUAGAGGCCUAGUUUUCUGGACCUCCUCAUCUCUGUGUCUUAACAAUCAAACAAAGGAAUCCAGAUCCCUGGACAACAUCUCCAUUGGCCCUGGACCACCAAAAAGGCUAUCUGGAGCUCUGGAAUUCAAGCGCAUCUGUGCCCUUCCUUACUAACAAGACUUGGUUGUACCAGGCCCUUGUUCCUGGGCCAAACUUCCAUAACUCUACCUGGCCCUGAUCAUUGGCUUACUGCGUAUAUUUGCUCAUCUCAGCACUACCCAGUCCUACAUUAGAUUCUAAUGGUGUUAGGCAACAAUCUCCCUGAUCUGGAUCACUGUGGAAAAACUCUAGAUUAACAAAAUGCUCAGAGAAUACUUCCAGCUAGUCUGUAUGAUCAGGCACAGCAGUCCAAACAAUUUAACAGAACAAAGUCAUUCCUGUACUAUUUCCAAGCCACUAGGCUGAGGCUCUGACCACCAUGCUGAGUUUGCACUGAUGUUUGACCACUAAAAAGAGGCUCCAUUUUGCUUCCAAAACCAGCUGCAAACUAUACAAAUAGAGAAGUUUUGUGGUGAUUAGAUGACAUCAAAUCAUACACCUUUGGGAAGGGGGUAACUACCUACUGUUAAUGGCACAAUCAAUUCUGUCAAAAAAUGGAAAAUGAUAUCUAUAAGCAUAUCCUCUCACAGAAAGGGGGAUGUGCCAUUUAUCACUUUGGUCAACAUGUCAGCUAGUUAUAUGGUCUGCUAAUUUUUGUCUUCUGGAUCCCAAAUGACAGUCCUAUGUUUGGGGAAUUAAAUAUACUUCUCAAGUAAAAUUACUGGAUAUUACUUCAUCUCUGCAUGGUUCUGAAAAGAGUGGGGUGAAAUUUUUUUCAAUAUUUCCACCCAAAUAAGGAAUCUGAUCUUAGCUGUUUUAGCUGAAUUUCUCUUAGCAUGUCUGCAACAUAGACCCGACUGGUUAUAACUACUUCUUGAUGGCCGCAGAUAUUGCUUAAAUUCAAACACUUAGAGAAGCAGAAAACAGAAAUUUGGAGAGAGAAGCAUAGCAGCACCCAUUUCAAAGCUAGAUAGCAUAGAAGUGAAAGGAUUGAUGGCAAAAAGAAAAAUUUCAACAAGGAUAACAUAGAAAGAACAUUGAAGAGAAAAAGAAAGAUUGAUUAAACUUGAUAAUGAAAAAUCAGCAAUCUAUUAAAGAAGUUAUCACAAUAUAGGUAUGUAAAUGAAAGCAAGACUGAGCCAAAAUCUACAGAGAAUAAGAGGUCCCCUCAGAAAUUACAGCAAAGCAUUCUCAUUAAGAUCUGAAAUUAUUCAGACGAUACAUAGCAUAAGUAAAGAUGAUUAAGAAGUAAAGAUGAAAAUGAGAUUUCUCAAGGAACAAAUAAGUUGAAAAAAGAGAAUGAUGAAUUUAGGAAAAGGGACAAACACUCUCCAAAUAGUAGCUUCUUCAAUAAAGAAAAUGACAGAAUUAGAAUCCAAAAAUUUCUAGAAGGAAAUUAAGCAAAUUUAAAAAUACAGCAAGAUUGGAGUUAUGCUUAUCUUAUGCUAUCUGAGAAUAAUUCUGGAUAUGGUAGAAUUUUUAAAAAUCCUAACCUUCCAUCUUGGAAUCAACACUCUACAUUUGUUCCAAGGCAGAAGCACAGUAAGGGCUAGGCAAUGGUGAUACUAUAUAACUCAGGAAAUCAAGCAGGAAACUUACCCAGAUAUAUUGGAAGUAUGCGGCCUAUUAUAUAAAUCCAAAAGAUGCCAAUAGAUAUUGAAAAUUUAACACACUUGGAAGCAUUAUGGUCCAUAUAAGUCUUUCAGGAUUUUUCUGAAAUCCUAUUCCUUGUCAUUUGAUAUAUUCCAUUACAACCAUAUACCACAACUUGGUUAGCCAUUCCCCAAUGUAUAGACAUCCCCUCAAUUUCUAAUUCUUUGCUACCAUAAAAGAGCUUCAAUAACCACUUUUGUAUAAAUAGAUUCUUUUCCCUUCGUUUGAAUCCCUUUGGGAUACAGAUCUUAUAGUGUUAUUGCUGGAUCAAAGGCUAGGCAGUUUUAGAGUCCUUUGGGCUUAACUCCAAAUUGUUCUCCAGAUCAGAUCACAGCUCCACCAGCAGUGCAUUAGUGUCCCAAUUACUGACAUCCCUUCCUACAUUUAUCAUUUUCCUUUUCUGUCAUAUUGGCCAAGGUGACAGGUAAGAGGUCUUACCUCAGAGUUGUUUUAAUUUGCAUUUCUCCAAGGGUGAUUUAGAGAAUUUUUUUCAUAUGCUAUACAUAGUUUUUAUUUCUUUGCCUGAAGACUGCCUGUUCACAUUCUUUAGACCAUUUAUCAAUUGGAGACACAGAAUUUGAUAAAUUUGGCUCAGUUCAUUAUAUAAUUGAGUAACGAGCUAUUUUGAUCUUAUCUUAGUGACUAGUGUAAAGAUAUUGGUCUAUACCUAGUUUCUGUCAAACUACUUUCCGGUUGACUCCAAACUUUUUACUACAUAAUGUUUUCUUAACCCAAAAGCCUGGAUCUAUGCUUUUGUCGAAUACAAAGUUGCUUAUAAUCUUUUACUACUGUUAUAUGUCUGCUCUGAUCUACUGAUCUACCUUUCUAUUUCUAAGCCAGUACUAGAUAGUUCUGAUAAUUACUACUUUAUGCAGUUUAAAAUGUGGUACUGAUACACAUUUCUUUUACAUUUUUUUCAUUAAUUCAUUUGAUAGUCUUGAUCUUUUGUGCUUUCAAAUGAAUUUUAAUCAUUUUUCUACCUCAAUAAGAUACUUUUUAGUAAUUUGAUUGAGAUGAUAUUGAAUGAGUAGAUUAGAUAGGAUUGUCAUUUUAUGUAUAUUAGCUCUGCCUAUUCAUGAAGAAUUAGCAUUUCUCCAAUUAUUUAGGUGUGAUUUUAUUCGUGCAAAAAGUAUAUGUUCAUGUAGUUCCUGGGUUUGUUUUGGCAAGUAAACUUCCCAGUAUUUUAUUUAUCUGUGGCUAUUUUAAAGGGAAUAUCUCUUCCCAUCUCCUCUUGAGGCACUUUGCUAGUAAUAUAUAAAAAUAUUGAGGAUAUAUUUUGUAUUCUCAUGCUUUAAUAAUAUUUAUAGUUUCAACUAACUUUUUAGUCGAAUUUCUAGGAUUUUCCAUAUAUACCAUUAUAUCAUGUAGGGAAAGAUAGUUUUAUUGUCUCUGCUCAUUUCGAUUCCUUUUUCUUCUCCUACUGAUAUUGCUAGAUUUUCUAGUACUAUGUUGAAUAAUAUGACAAUCGGCAUUCUUGCUUCACUUUUGAAUUUAAGAAGGCUUCGAAUUUAUCCCCAUUACAGAUGAUACUUGUAAUUUUAGGUUGAUACUAAUCAUUUUAAGGAAAGACCCAUUUAUUCCUAUGCUUUCCAAUGUUUUUAAUAGGAAUUAAUGUUAUAUUUUCUCAAAGACUUUUUUUGCAUCUAUUGAAACAAUCAUGAUUUUUAUUACUUUUGUUGUUAAUAAAAUCUUGUUGUUAGUUUUCUUUAUAUUAAGUCAUGCUUUGUAUUCCUGGUAUAAAUUCCAUUUUGUCAUAAUCUUAGUUGCAAUUUCCUAACUACUAUUUUAUUUAAGAUUUUUGUAUCCACACUGAAAUUGGUCUAUAAUUUUCUUCCUCUAUUUUUGCUCUUCUUUGUUUAGGUAUCAGUACCAUAUAUUGAAUAAAUGGAGUUUGGUAAAACUCUACCUAUUUCAAAUUAUUUAAUAUUGGAUUUAGUUGAUCUUUAAAUAUUUGGUAGAAUUCGCUUAUGAAUUCAUCUGGUCCUGACUUUUUUAAAAUAAGAAGUAAUAUAAUUCUCUCCUCCCCACAGCUUUCUUUUUUCUUUGAAUUCAUUGAUUUUAUUUGUACAAAAACUAUUUUUAACAUAAUCAAAAUUGUCCAUUUUAAAUCUCAUAAUUCUUUCUGUCUCUUAUUUGGUCAUAAGUUCUUCCCUUAUGCACAGAUCUGACACAUAAACUAUUCCAUGCUCCAUUAAUUUUGCUUAUGGUAUCACUCUUUAUGUCUAACUCAUGCACUCAUGUUGAACUUAUCUUGGUAUAUGGUAUGAAAUAUUGAUCUAUCCACAGGGUCUGACAUACCAUUUUCCACAUUUCCCAAGAGUUUUUUUUUUAUCAAAUAGUGAGUUCUUGUCCCAAAAGCUUGGAUCUUUUGAUUUAUCAUACAAUAAAUUACUAUGGUAAUUUAUUUCUAGGUAUCUGUGUACCUAGUCUUUUCCAUUGAUCUACCACUCUAUUUCUAAGCAAGUAUCAGAUUUUCUAAAAUUUUCCAUUGAAUUUGUUUGAAAUUAAAAUUUAACUUCUCUAUUGAAAUGAAUAUUAAUUUAUAUUGAAUGAGUUGAACCAGACUCAUAUCUUUUCUACGAGAGGUGCUAAGUAAAGAUGAGUAAGGACAUAUAAUCCAUGUCCUCAAGCAGUUAACAUUCUACUUAUUCAGUGAUACAUAUAACAGCUUUCUGAGUAAUAAAAAAAAGUCAACUCAAUCCAUACUAUAGCUUUAAAGUGUUCCUUAGUUUACCUUUGAAUGUCGUCCUGGGUGGGGGUGAGGGAACAGAGGGAGAUGGGGGGCAAGUAAUGGAAAGGGGAAAAUGGAAACAUGACUGUUGAUAAUUUAGGUGAAGACAUCUUUGGUGGUAUGGAUGAGUGGGGUGUAGUAAAGGACGGACUAGCAACAAGUUUUGUGUCAGCUAAAGGGAAGGGCUCUAGUGGCAUCAGAGUAGGGUUUGGUUCUUCCAUUACAUGUUUCUUUUUAAAAUAUUCCUAAACUGGAACACAAAAUAAGAUCAGGAAUUAUUCAUUCACAGUAAAGGAAGUAUUUCUCAAUAUAUCAUUCUGAAAAAUUUCACUCAAUUGGGUUUGCUUGGUCAAAAACUUAUUUCAUGAAAAGUACAUGGGUAUCAAUAAUUGUCUCCAACUUUAAAAAUGAAAUUGUGAAUGUAAAAAUAAAAUCUCACCACCAUUGUCAUGAGAGGAUUCCUCCACAUGCUUUUUUUCCUUCUGGCACACCUGGACCUUCCUUAACAGGAAGCAAAACAUUUAUGUAUUGAUCUUCAUGUCAAAAUAGUCACUAGGUAAAUAUGAAAUUUGGGGGAAAGAUUUUUUUUUAAAGAUCAUUCUUUCCAUGUGUAAAGAACUGAGAAGAUUGUGAGUGAGCCCAUACAAAAUAACCUUCACUUUUUUUUUUCAACUCUUACCUUCCAUCUUAGAUUCAACACUUGGUAUUGACUCCAAGGCAGAAGAGCCUUAAGGGCUAGGCAAUGGGAGUUAAGUGACUUGCCUAGGGUCACACAGCUAGAAAGUACCUGAGGCCAGAUUUGAACCUAGGACCUCGCAUCUCUAGGCCUGGCUCUCAAUCCCAUUGGUCCCCCGAGUUUGCCCUGAUAACUUCACUUCUGAACACUUUUUAUUUAGCUCACCAUUGGAAGAUUUAUUUACAUUUGUGAUAUUAAAGUGAAAAUUUAUGAGUAUUAACAAAACUAGAUGAGAAUUUUAAAAAUUCAAAGCUUUUGAAAUGUAGAGAAAAUCAAAGAAAUACUUUUUAAGCUUAACAAUAUGAAAACAUGUAGAACAACAAAAGGGGAUGUUUUCUGAUUUCAAGUAUAAAUUUGUUAUAGAAAAGAAAUAUUUUAUUCUUUAGGCACACAAUAAAUGGCAAUAUUGUUCUAGACUUAGAAACAAAUAACAAAAAAGUCACUGAGGUCAGAAAAGUGUUUAAAUUUAAAAUUAAUUAAAAUAUUUAAAUUAAAUGAGAAAACAAAUAAAAAUUAUAGCAAUUAAUUUUGGUGCAUUUCUGUUGUGAGUGACAACUUGUGAGUCCUUAUAGCUUUGAUUACAUUAAUAUUUAUUAAUAUAAUUCUUUAUGAACCUCGUAAAACAUAUUCUUAGUGGUAUUUCAUAGUAAUAUAUUACAGAUUGAGAUACAUCCAUUCUGGUCAAUCUUGUUGAAUCAACUAAAUCACAUGGUUUAGAAGCAUCAUUAAAAGCCUAUUCUUCUCUCAGUCUUCCAGGACAAGACUCACUUGACCUAAUCCCUACAGUCAGUGAUGUCAUGUGAACCCAAAGACUAUAGAAACAAUUCUAGCCAAAACAACUAACUGUGGUCAAUGAAUUGUAUAAAUUAAUCAACAUUGAAAGAAAGAUCUGUUUUGAGAAACUGCUAAGAAAUCAAAGUGGGGGGAAGGUGAUUAUGUGCCUUUACUAUUUUUGUAAUAGGACUCAUUUUGUUCUGAAUGCUUUAAAUUAUUAUUUAUUGUUUUCAAAAGAUCAUUUACAGAGAUAUUUAUCAUUAGAUUUUGUUGUUCUUUAGUUCCCUAGACACUUUAAAUUAGUCUUAUGCAUUUAAUUUUUUAAAAAAAUGAUUAUAUACUUCAUAACAUCAAUAGUAAGAAUUUAAAUAAAUGCAAAAAUUACGUGUAAAAACAAAAACUCCACCUUGUUAUAAUUUGUUCAAAGUAUGUUCAUUAUAUAUGCUAAUAUAAAUAUCCUCUGCUUUUGAGAUCCCUUUGGAUUGGCUUUACUUUGAUACUUUUUUCCUCUUUGUGCCUUUUUUUAUAUAAUCAUAGUAUGUAUUAUUCUUAUUCUCUUCUUUUUUUGUCUCUACAGAUAUUUCCCUUAUUUUCUUUAUAUUUCCAAUAUUCAUCAUUUAAAAUAACAUAAUAUAAUCCAUCACCUUAAAAUAUCACAAUCUAUUCAGCCAUUUCCUCCAACGUUACAUUUGUAUUAUUUCCAAUUAUUUUGUCAUUACAAAGCUCCUAUGAUUAUUUUUACCCACACACAGUUUUUCUCCCUCUUAAUAAUUCUUUAGGGCCUAAUCCUAGUAAUAGGAUCCCUACAUUAAUGAGCAGGAAACAUUUUACAAUUUUUAAUGUAUAUUUCCUUUUUGUUUUCAAAAAAAAAAUCAUAGUUGCUCUAGAUUUGUUUCUCCAUGUACCUAUAAGCAUUUAAUUUGAUCAACUUAAUUGGUCUAUUUUUCAGAUAACAUACAUUACAAAGAUCAUAUUUACCUAGAUUGAUUUUUUGUUUGUUGCCAGGAUCACACUUUUUCCAAGACCAACUCUUUCCAACUUGGUCAUACCCAUUAGAACUUUUUUUGAAUGCCACAACCCCAGAGUGCAGGAUUAUCUCCAUACUAUGAUGAGUGUUGAAGUAAAACUUAGGCAGACUAGUUAUACUCUCCGUAUCAUUGUUGGUCUCACCAGAAAUCAUGUUUGGAUUAUGUGAAUGCUCAGGCUUAGAGUAGUAACUGCUUGCCUAAAGCAGGUAUAUAUAGCAGUCUAGUCUUGGGUAUUUUGUAAAUCAGUCUUCAGUUCAAAGCUGAUUCAUAUAUGUCUAUAGGAUAAAGUAGCUGCUCACCUUCCCUGAUGACUUCUGUCACCUUCAAGAAUAAUAUUUUGUUCACUCCCUUCUUUUAUUUGCAGUUCUUCCUUACUUUUACCAGGUACAUUUGCACCAAAUGUAACAUUAUCUACAGUGAUAAAGAGUUCAAAUACGAAUUUCAAAAUUUAUAGCAAUAAGAAAUGUCAGGCAAUUCCCUCAUGGUAGCAGCAUUUUAAAAACAUGCAUUACUCCUUAAUCUGCAAAAGUAUAAUGUCAAUUAAAGGUCAUCACUGGUGUAUGUUAGAUUUAAAAUGGUUGAGGUCUUAAACUGUAGUGAUUAAAAUAGUGGAAGAUAUAAAUUGUGAUAGAUAUAAGAGAGGAUGAGUAAAUUUGACCACAGAAAUAUGUUUCACUACAGUGUCUUGGUUUUUAAAUCAAAUGUAAGGUGGUCGCCAAGGAAAUAUUCCCAAUUUUCAAAUACCCAAGUCAACUGGGUUUAUAGAGAUUUUAAUUAAUACAAAUGUGGAAUUAAAAAAAGAAAGAGAGAAAAAAGAAAUAAGUAUGAAGGACCUUAAGUGAACAUGGCCUAGACCUGAGUCUUAAGAGAGAGAGAUCAGUAAGUCAGUCUCUUAACACUCACCACAAGGUCUGUCUAAGCAAGGAUUCUAGUGACACCAGGCCAGCUCCAUCUCAGCUGACUUCACCAGAGAGAGUUCCAAAGGGCCUCUCUCCAGAGCCUCCAGAGGGACAGAGUCCCCUCAGAGGAGCUCCAGCGAGAUCUCCUUAGAGACUGUCCUCUAAGAGCUUCCCUUCUCCAGAGCCUCUCUCAAGAGAUUCUUCCCAAGCGAUCAUCAUCAAAGAUCCUCCAAAAGGAUUUUUUUUCUCAAGAGAUUCUGCUUCUUAUAUAGGAGGUUUUUCUCCUAUGUCACCUCCCCUAAGUCCUUACAUCUACCAAUCACUGUAGAUGUUUUCCAAAGGACUGCCCAUCUGAAUUCUUGCUAAGUCGACAAAUCUCCUCAGUAAGUCUGAACCAGAAAAAGUUCUACUGUGUCAACUAAUCUCCUCAGUAAGUCUGAACCAGUGAAAACACAGCUGAGUCAACUAAUCUCAUUAAGAGAAAACUUGCCCGACCCUUUUAGGUACCUAGCAUCUCAUUGUAUCAAAUCUAAAAAACAGGCAUGGCUCAAAGAACUCCUUGCCUUAUUAUAAGCAUGGGUCCAAGUACUUUCUUUGUUUAGCAAGGAGUUUUCUCCCCUAAAGCAGUCUUAAGUAUGGGUGGAGUAGAGGUCCUCCCAUAGCAAGGAUUUUUCUCCUCUAAAGCAGUCUUAAGUAGGAGUGGAGCAGAGGUCCUCCCAUAGCAAGGAGUUUUCUCAUCAAAAUGGGGAAUGUUCCCAGUCCAAUGGGGAAAUUUUUAACAUUCACAAGUCUGAGAAAUUACAAGGUUUACAAUCCCCCCCUGAUGAUCAUUGGGAGACUUGUCUUCCCAUUGAUCAUUUAACAUAAUCAAUUUGUAAUCCUAAAUGCACUUCUAACUAUAUAUAUAUAUAUAUGUAUAUAUAUAUAUAUACACGAUAUUCAAAUUACUAAGAGGAAUUAGAAUAGUGAGGGAGGAAAUAGAAAAGAAAAGAAAGCAAAACCAAUGUUUUAAACCUAUGAAUUGAUGGACAUUUGUCACAAUUUUUACAAACAUAGCAAUCUUUCAACCUUGGUAUUUAAACAUAUUUUUUUAAACAAAGUAAAACUCAUCUUGGGUUAAGAACAUAAUCGAGAAAUCUAUAUAUCAUUCUGGUGCAAGUAAAGUAAUGAGCUGAAAAGUAUAAAUAAAGGGGUGCUCCUUUUUCUUGGAGGCUUUUUAGGGGUACAAAUGCCCUGAUAUUAACUGCCCAACUCCUAUUCACAUAUUUAGAAAUGCGGGAAGGUUGGGGGUUAUAAAAUGUAUUUCACUUCAGUUACUAGAAUGGGUCUUACCUCGUGGUAGGGGCAGACAAAAAUAACCAGAUUGUUAAAAAAAAUUCCAAAAAUCAUAUUUAAAAAACCCUUAAAAUCAAAUCAUUUGAGGUAUUUAGCACAUUAAAUUUUUCCAAGGUUGUUAAUACAAUUAUAAUCAGUUCUGAAGUCCAUCUAUCCUCGGCAAAAUAGAAAAAAGCUGUUUUUUCAUAUAUGGGCUUAUUCACAAUAAUAUUUGUUCAACACAGUUAUAGGGGGAAAACAACAGAAUUUUUAAAACUAAGUACAUUCAAAAUAAAUUCAAUCAACCUUCAGUUCAAGCAGAAUAAUAUUGAAUCCAGUAAUAUAUGAACUUAAAAUCACAAAGUUAAACCAUAACAAAAAAUGCAAUAGAAAUACAGAGAUUUUUAUAAACCAUUGGAGUCUGAAAUGCCUUAGAAUAUAGCCUUUAGUCUCUUCAAAGUUCCUUGGGUUCUUAUCCAUUUAAAUGUCUAUUGUCAGAAGGCAGAGUGGUAAGGGCUAAGCAAUGGGGUCUGAGCAAUCUGCUUGGGGCCACACAGCUGGGAAGUAUCUGAGGCAAGAUUUUAACCCAGGACGACAUGUCCUCAGGUCUGGCUCCCAGUUCGUUGAGCCACCCAUUUGCCCCUUCAAAGUUAAAGUUGAAUCUUUGUGCUGAAUCUUUCUUCUUGCACACAGGUGAAAUCAAUGAAAUUACCAGAACAGUCAAAAGGUAUCCUUUUAAACAGCCCAUUGCUUAAAAGUCUGUUUGAAAAGUCUGUUUCUUCUCUCUCCCCUGCUAUGAAACCCCUGUGGUCAAUAUCCCCAUCCACAUGGAGGCUUAGCCUAAGGGAAAAUUAUCCUUUCUCCUUUCCCUCUCGUUUCUCCCCUCCGCCCAUGUGGCCAAUACUGUUACCAGCUGGUCAAAAUGAGUCCUGAGCGAUCUGCUCCAAGGAUCUGGGUGAUGAGCUGUCUGGGUCAGAGGCCAGAUGGGUGAGAGACAGACCGCCAGGGUGGGUAGGGCCGGGAGCCAGAGUGCCGACAAACAGGGCCAGGAGCUCGGGUACCAGGUGAGAGGCCAGGAGCAGAAGCAGUUGCUGGAGAGGGCUGCAGGCAGGAGCUGAUCAAGAUGGUUUUCUAAAAGGCAUCUUGGAGAUACGUGGCUUAAAAAAAAUCCUCUAGGCUAAAAAAUUUGAGAAGUUCUCAUCCCAUCUGGGUCGCCAUCUGUAACAGUUAAAAUUUAGUAAUAUUGGGAGACUGAGGCAGGUAGAAAUUAGUUUCUCUCUGCAAGGAGUAUUAUAUUUUUUAGAGGUUUAUUAAGGAUUAAGGAUUAAAGAAUAUACAAGUAAGAAACAUGUGCCUAGGCCAGAGGCCUAGAAAAAAUAACCUCACAUCAUGGAAGAGACGCCUCUGCUCCAAAACGGAAGUCCAAAAGACCGCCAAAAACCUUUGUCACCAGCUUAAAUUCUUCCUCGAUCUCGGCCCACCUCAGAAUUCCUGUGAGAUUACAAAGCAUUUUGGGGAAGUGGCGCAAAGGAUUGUGGGGAUUGUAGUCCUGUAUUCGAGUCUAUUUUUUACAUGUACAAAGGAAUAUAAAUCUAAAUGGUAUCACUUCAUAAUCUUUGAGAAAUAGGAAGAGAGCAUACCUGAGGUUAGGGAUUCUAAGGAAACAGAGAUGACUUUUGAUAUGGCCUCCUCAAGUAACUUGAGUCUAACAAGUUACUCUGACCAAUCUACAAACGUAUUAGUCCAGAUAUUCUGUGCCUUAAUAAAAAUUAUUCUUAUUUGAGAGUUGUAAAAGGGACAUCUUCAGGCUGAUAAUUUUGGCCAUUGUUGUGGAUAAGGAUUGUGUAACAGACACUCUCUCUUCAGCAAAUGGGAUGGGUUCUGUACUUGUUGAACAGACAUUGGGGCCCAAGAUUUUAUAUUAUUCAUUAUAAAGAGAUGGCUUUAAAUUAAUUUUGAAAAGUUUUUAAAGAUUAGGCUAUUGUUGGCAAAAAAAAAAGUGUUAACUAAAAUGAGACUGAGUCUCCAUUGGUCCAAUGAAUAUAUAUUUUUUAUAAAAUGUUCUAGUAGAAACUUAUUAUUAAAAAGGUCUCUCAAAAGUAUAACAAAUAAUAUAGAGAACUUUUCUACAUUUUCUCCAUCACAGAUGUUCUGAGUUGAAUAGAAAGACAACACAUUUAAAUAUAAAUCCCUGUUUUAUAUUAUUUAAUUUAAUUUUUGUUUAUUUAGUAAAUUAAUUUAGAAUAUAUUUUCCAUGGUUACAUGAUUCAUGUUCAUUCCCUCCCCUCCUUCUACCCUCUCCCACAGCCAAUGAGUGAUUCCAGUGGUUUUUACAUGUGUCUGAUGAAGACCCAUUUCCAUAUUAUUAAUAUUUUCAAUAGAGUGAUACAUCCCCAAUCACAUCCCCAUUGAACCAUGUAAUCAAGCAAUUGUUUUUUCUUCUGUGUUUCUGCUCCCGGGGUGUAUGGGGUGUUCAGAGAGGGGUAGUAUCUCUGGUAUGGAGGGCUUGUCGUACCCUCCUAGGGUAGCUCUCCAGCCUCUGACCCCCACCUGACACCCAGCUCUCACUUGUGGCUCCCAGUAGCUGCUAGCAUGCAGCAGCGGCCACACCCCGGGCAACGGCUUCGACAGGCUGGCUAAACCUUGGGAGAGUAGCCAUCGGGUCGUUGUGGACCCCUGGUGAACUAGGGCUUUGCUCACCCAGCAUGUAAAGACUGUUUCGGCAGAACAGGAGGAAGAAACCAACAAGAAGGUUCAAUGGCUGAGAGGGCAUCGCAGCAAGGCACUGUGGAGUGCUUAGGGCAUGUUGGAGCACAAAGGACAACACGGCCAUCCAAUGCAGCUGAGGAAGUCUCCAGGUGCAACGAUUUUUCAUGCCACUGGACCCAGGCUUCCAACGCCGAGAGAGUGGGACUGUCUCUGUGCAUCGUUUCCACUUAAAUCUCUUUGAUGCACAAGUAUCUUUGUGCACACUCAUCUACAUCACAGAUGAAAGUGCACAAAGACAAUCGUCAUUUUUGGUUACCGAGAGACUACUACCAAAAGUUUCUGCUCCCACAGUUCUUCCUCUGAAUGUGGAUAGUGUUCUUUCUCAUAAGUCCCUCAGAAUUGUCCUGGAUCAUUGCAUACUGCUAGUAGAGAAGUUCAUUACAUUCGAUUGUACCACAGUGUGUCAGUCUCUGUGUACAAUGUUCUCCUGGUUCUGCUCCUUUUGCUCUGCAUCACUUCCUGGAGGUUGUUCUAGUCCCCAUGGAAUUCCUCCAGUUCAUUAUUCCUUUGAGCACAAUAGUAUUCCAUCACCAACAUACACCACAAUUUGUUCAGUCAUUCCCCAAUCAAAGGGCAUCCCCUAAUUUUCCAAUUUUUUGCCACCACAAAGAGCGCAGCUAUGAAUAUUUUUGUACAAGUCUUUUUCCUUAUUAUCUCUUUGAGGGGUAAACCCAGCACUGCUAUGACUGAAUCAAAGGGCAGACAGUCUUUUAAAGUCCUUUGGGCAUAGUUCCAAAUCACCCUCCAGAAUGGUUGGAUCAAUUUACAACCCCACCAGCAACUAAUUAAUGUCCUGACUUUCCCACAUCCCCUUCAGCAUUCAUUACUUUGCUGUCAUGUUAGCCAAACCACUAGGUGUGAGGUGAUACCUCAGAGUUGUUUUGAUAUACAUUUCUCUAAUUAUAAGAUAAAUCCUUGUUUCAAAUGAUAAAUAUUAAUAUUAUUUAGGAUAAGAAACUAUCUCAUAAUUAUCCUUUUUACCUGUGGAAGGUGUGUAGAUAGAAUUCAUUCCCCAAGGCUCAACCAACCCAGCUCAUGUUACCCACCAUUCCAUUUGCGUGCUUACACAGUGCUUACAGAUGUGAAUGCAUAUAGGGAGGGGGGAGUAAUUAGGGGUGAUGGAGGAUUAAAGUUUUCUUGUGGCACUGCCAUCUCUCUCUACUUCCCAGAAUGUGGCUGGAAAGUCCACACAUAUGGUCAAUUAGGUUAGAUUAGGCUUUAAUCUGCUUUCUCUAUCUUUAGUAUUAAUAAAACUAUGGAAAAAUAAGAACCUGGAGUUAUUGAUAUUGAUUUAAAUUUUACAAAGACCACUCAAAAAGAAAGAGAGUUAACUUAGGGAGAGUCAGACCCUAUCUAUCUUAUCAAAUUUUCACUCUUAUCAAUAUACAUUCUAUGAAAAACCUUUUAGAUGUCCUAUUGAAGCAAUGUAGAUGUUACAUUAGUUUGUGGAUAUGGCCAAAAUGAAUUAGAAUUUUUAGUAAUUCACAGAAUAUGCAAUGUAGAAAUAAAUGCAUAAUAUAAAUAAUAUGAAAUAUAAAGACAGAGAAAUCCUAUUUAUCAUAAACAAAAAAACCAAUGAGAGUCAAUUUAAAAUGUAGUUUCUGUUCUCUGGCAACACCAUAUCAUAGAGUGGGGAGAACUUUGGAAUUUUUAAGAUCUACACAUGAGAAAGAGUCAAGUCUGAAACCCUCAAUGGACUUCUGAGACAAUUCUAGUCCAAAAAAAUGGCACUCCCCAUCCCUAAAGUCAAAUAGGAAUUAAGUAAGGGUCCACCUACAAGUCCUAAAGAACAAGGAGAAUUUCAGCCUCUAACAUGUACAUUUAUUCAUGGAUUACUGAAUAACUCAUUGAACCUAUAUGUGCUUAAGGCAUCUGUCAGUAUAAAGUGGCAAGAGGAUGCCCCAAGUUCAACUUAUUGGUAAAAGGAAUUUUUCAGUAUGGGAAGUCUGGAUAUCAAUGCACUCACACUUUCUAUAAACAUCCUUAGCUUCUUUUCCUCUCUGAAAGGUCACUGACACAUAUGUACCCUUGCCUUUUUUUGACCUGCCAAACCCUUCACUUUUCAGGAAAUGAAUAGGUUUGCUAUCUUCCCAAAGAACAUUCUAAUCAAUUUAUAAGAGAAAAUAAAAUUCACCACUCAUAUUAAGCCUCUGUGUCUUCCUGAAAAAUUUUCUCUUAACAUCAUCAUUCUUACUUUUCAUCUUUUCUGUCAUCUUGGACUAGUGACAUUAGUGGAACCAUCAUCUAUAAUGAUAAAAGAGUUUAAAUGUGAUCUACAAAAUCAAUAAGAGAAAAACAAAAUAUUGGGCUAUGCCUCUAAAGAAUUAGGUUUUGGAAGUGUAAUGCAGUGGAUGAAUUAAUGGAAGAGUUUUUCAUACUGGGAAUUCAAUGUCUUAACUGAAAAAUCAGAGCCAAUAACAAAAAAAGGAGUACUCCUUAAUUAUCAUACGUAUAAGUCAAUUACAUAUAAUUCUUGUCAAAGUGGAUUGAAAUCUGAAACUUCUCUGUUAGCACUUUGUAACCAAUAGCAAAUACUAAGUUAUAUGUGAAAUAGAAUUGUGUAUUAAUUUUCAUGAAAGAGAAAUAAACCUGAUGCUUCCUCACUCAUGCCUUCUGAAUCCAGAUUAAUCCAGAUAUUUUGAGGAAUGGGAUUCUCAAGUCAUUAUUCUCCCAUUCCACUCAGUUGUGAUUAUGGUCAAGAAAGCUGGAGAACCAGAGAGAAAACAAGACAACCCUUAUCCUUAAGCAGUUUAUACUUUACUAUUACAAUGCUAUAAAUAAGUUAUUCUGGGUGAUCUACAUAUGUUUUCCUAAUCUAUCCUGUUCCUGAAUAUGGUUAUUUAGAGUUGCCUUGGACCCCAUUGUCUAAGGAAAGUGAAGGUUGAAAAGGGGACCUUUGAUAUAAGAUAUCAUGUAGUUUUUAACACUGGUGUGGAUCAGGGAUCACAUAACAGCCCUUCUAGAGUAAUUGAGAUAAAAUUUACAGAUAUGGUCAAUGUUGGCCUUUCAUGUUCCAGUACAUAAAUCUUUCUUGUGAAAUAUUCACAGGUUUUUGUUUGUUCAUCUUUAAUUUUUGAAGAGGACCAAUGCCAUCCCAGAUGAGGUGCUAACUUGUGCAUGAAUCGGAUUUAAAUGAGGUAGAAUUGCACCAAGUCUUUGGCAUUACACUCUCUUCAGAAGUCAUGGAAAACCAAUGGCAAGACAAAAAUCAAGACGACUGGUGAUGGUUCUGCAUGCAGUGUAUGACUUUGGUGUCUAAGCUCUAAGUGCUCUACAGAAUUUGUUUCGGCCAACUUCAUUGCCAUUAGAACAAAUUGUUCUCAUCAGUCCCUUUCUCAUGUUAGAUUUCCAGAUUAUAUUCUAACUAGGGAUAUGUAUUAUUCAUUUACAAAGACAAAUCCUCAAUAUAUGUCAUUUUGAAAGCUUUUUCUAGACAACUGAAGCCCAGCAAAGGUAAUGAUGAAACCCAGACUCACACAGGGUAUUAAGUGAGUCUCAAAAAAUAGUGAGAAUUCCUGGCUUCUGAAACACUGAAUAACUAACUCAUCAUUUGAAGCUAUCUGUGUCGCUUUAGGCAUCUGUCAGUAGAAAGUGGCAAGGUGUCCAAACUUCAGGUUCAUUAGUAAAGGGAGUUUUUGAAUCUGGGAAUUCCUGAUUGAAUUCAAUGCAAUUUCAUUCUUUAUCCUCUUCCUAAGUCUCCUUUUCUUUCUAAAAAGUUAACUAUUUCAUGUGUAUCCUUCCCUUUUUCUGGCUGCUAAUUUUUUUCAGGAGACAUAGGACAAUACUCAUACCCUUCCUCACACUUUCCUAGGGGUUGAAGAACUCAAGGAGACUGAUUUCUUUUCUAAAACAAUGGUUCUUAUGAUGAGAAAUAUCCGGAAAUUGCCAAUAGAUUAUACACAUAUGUUGUGGGAUGGUAAAUGGGCUACUAAUUCUCUCCUUUUUAAACUGAGCCUUAUCCUUCAGAAGUCUUUAGUGCCUUCUAAGUCUGGAAUCAGUGGAAUAGGCAUGUAGUCACAACCCUGAUGGAGGUAUGGUCUAGAAUAAGAUGACAAGAGUAGAGACAAUCCUGAAUGAGUUUAUUGAACUCAAUUCUCUCUCACAUUCAGAUGUUGAAAUAGUUAAAGCUGCUGCCUAUCUGUUCUGUCUAGACUUAAAUUAUGUAUUGUUUCCAGAGCACAACAAAAGCCUGAUAUCAGAUUCUUAUUAGCCUUCCAUCCUGAGACAGAAAUCAAUCUCUGCAGUCAUUGUCAUUGAACUAGAAGAUUUUGGAAUCAACUCUAGCCAAAACAAUGAGGUCCUAGGGAGUCUUUUAAUUAAUUGAUCAGUAUAUAAAGAGAGUUCCAUUUGGACAGACCACUAAAAAAACUGAAUGGGUUGGAUAUGAUGUUCCUCUCCAAUCCUGGCAGCUGGGCCAAAAACACUUUAAAGGCUACUAUUAUAAUGUUGCCUCAUGUUUAAAGUGUGGUCAAAAAUAUUUUUCAGAUAUUCACCCUUAAGUUUUUUGAGGGGAGAUGGAGUUAUGCUUCCAGGCACACACUAUUUAAAAUGAUCUUUUACACUUUGCUAUUUGGUCCUUAGUAAAAAGCUAAUUCUUAAUAGCAUCUGUGAGCUAAACUAGCAGCUCACCAUUACCGGUGAUCACUUGUGCCUUGAUCUUUAACAUCUGAUUCAAGCCCUCAUGGUUUCUCCUCUUCAUUUUUGAGAGCAUCAACUCCAAUAAAAAAAUAAAUGAUAGAGUGCAAAGGUGAAUCCUAAAAUCAUUUUGAGUAAUAAAAAUGUCAGACAAUUCCCUAAAACAAUAAUCCUCUGAAGUAUAGUUGAUUGGAUGAAUUAGUGGAAAAGUGUUCUACACUGCAAGUUUCUGCUAUGCCUCUUAAUCUCUAAAACUAUGGUACUGAUGAUGAGAAAUAUCCUGAAAUGGGAAAUCUAUUAGAAAACCUUUUUUUGCAGGAUUGUAGGACAAUCCUCUACUAAUUAAAGGGUGUCUUCUGCUUAAGAAAUAUUCAGUAACUCCUUUGCAUGCAGUUUCUGGAAUGGAUAUCAUAUCAUCAGCCUUAGUGAGGUAGGAAAAGUACUAAGUAGAUGAGAGAAGCAACAAUUCUGGAAGAAUUUCUUCUCGGGCCUAGAGAACUGGGAUAAAAUUAUGGCUCAAAUAUAGUUAGGAAACAGAAGAUAUUUCAUAAACCCAGAGUUUUGUUUUGUUUUUUUCUUUCGUAUUUCUGGAGAGUGGUUAUUUUCUUUAAAUGGGUUCAGUAUGUUUUCCUGAACAUGAACAUAUAAGAAAAAUUAAAUCUAUGUCUCUUGUGUAUGAUAAUGUGUAACUGUUCUUACAGUCCAGAUUAUGUGAAAUAUUUUUCAGUUUAUUGGAAUUUCAUAUGGAGCCUUUAAACUAAAACAAAUGCUUAGAAAAGGUGUUUUGUAGUAAUAAUUCAAGUAGAGAUGUUUCAUGAAUUAGGCACCGCUUCAGGAAUAUAAGAUUUCAUCUCUUAAAUCUUCCAACCCAAGGCACAUUUGACUUAAUCCCUCAACAGUUAUAUGGAUCUUAAACAUUUGUAUUGAAUACUCAAAAUACUUCUGAAUGAGAUAGAAUUAAAUGUGCUAUUCUCAGAAUGAGCAUCCAGCUUACACCUCCAAUUAAGAAUGGAAUGUGUAGAACUGUCUCUUUUAGUUUCAAGGACUUCUUGAUUAUUUGUCUAGAAGAUUUAGGAAGUAGGCUUGGUGCCUGGGGAGGAUGGGAGGCCCCUUAUCUAAGGGGCACUGUAUACAUAUCACUCAGCCUGCCCAGCUGCAGCUGCCAUCUUAUCUCUUCUUACUCUUAAAAAUUUAAGGUGACACUCUUAGCUCUCUCUCAAGUGAUGAUGACCUCAUGUAAUGUAUCUUGCUAUUUUCUGAUUGGGGUAGAUUUCAAGCCUAAAAUUUAAUUCUGGCUUCCAGACAAAGGGAGGAGAGAGGGGGUGGGGAGAACCAAUAUAAUGUUUGUAUUUAUGCCUAGGCAUUUGCAUUUGCCCACCAGGGCAUCAGCCAUUUCUCUGGAAAAAGAAAUAAACUUUUGACUCUUCUACUCUCACUUGAUGACUCCAGAUUUUUAAUUUAUCCUUUUUUUAUCCCACUCAAUUCAGAAAUAAUGACACAGAACUGUUUGAAUCUGUGGAAUGACUGACAGUAGGAAAGGUCUUAUAUCUGAUCAAUAGGAAAAUAGAGGCCCAUUUUGAAAGAGCUUUUAAUAAAUGGAAUGGAGUAGCAAUUGCCAUUCCAUUUUAAAUGAUAAAUGCCUACUAUUUUGAGGUUUUAAAACGUAUUUGCAGAGAUAUUUUACUUCAGAUUCUGUUUUUGUUUCAUUUCAAUUUUUUGCAUUAAAUAUCUAUACACUGUUUUAAAUGAUCAUAUAGGAUAUAUAUCUUGGGCUUCUGCACAGAUUGGUUCUAAUAUAUUUUAGAGCCUAAGUAGAAAGUCACACAUUCAUUAUGAUCACCAUCACUCAGUAGAAGAUAAUUUUUUUAACCUUCCCGUUUUUCUUGUUUUUUUUCCCCUUGGGCUUUAUAGACGACAACACAACCCACAUGCACCAUCAUCUACAAAGAGAAAAAUUUAAGUGCAAUAUGAUUAAUCCAUCUGUGUCCCACAGAGAUCAAAUAAAAAGGAAAAGGACCACUAGGUACAAAAAUGUUCAUAGGGACUCUUUUUUUUUGGUGUCGAAGAAUUGGAAAUUGAGGGAAUACUCAUUAACCUGGGAAUGGCUGAACAAGUCGUGGCAUAUGAGAAAUAUAUAAGAAAUAACUGAAAGUGGUGUGUGGUUUCAUAAAAGGAACAAACGAAGACAAGACAUGGCAAGGUCUGUUUGAACUGAUGCAAAGUGAAGUGAGAAGAGCUAAGAGAUGACUGGGCACAGUUAAGAGUAAUGUGUCCAUGAACUGUGAAAGAUUUAGCUACUCUGAUCAAUACAAUGAUCCAAGAUAGUUCCAAAGGACUCAUGAUGGAAAAAAUUCUAACCACCUCCAGAGAAAGAACUGAUGAACUCUUGAGUGCAAAUUGAAGCACAAUUUUCUCAUUUCCUUAAUUUUUCUUGCUUUUUAAAAAAAUGGCUAAUAUGGAAAUGUCUUGCAUAGUUUCACAAGUAUAAUUGAUAUCACAUUGCUUGCCUUUUCAAAGAGUGGUAGAGGAAAGAAGAAAAUCCGGAAUUCAAAAUGUUAAAAAAGUGGGAUAUUAAAAAUAAAUAUAUUUUAAAAGUCAAAGAAUAAAUAAAUUUCUAGGUCUAACCUUCCUUACUUGUUAAAGAAUAGUAUUAGCCCUACCUCCAUCGUAAAAAAAUGGAAACACUCUUCUGUCUUGUUCUUUCACACACACUCUAUUAACACUAAGGAAGUUGUGAGGGGUCAGAGGAAGUCAGUAAAGUACCCAAGAAGGGCCUCUGGGAAUUUUGGACUCUCUUUUCGAGUUCCUUCUCAUCUGCUAGGCGGGGCACAAUGCCUUCCUCCUAAUCUCCCACCACCAGUAAGAGUCCCAAGUGCACAAAACCUCUUUGGCCGUGCUGUGGCACUCUGAUCGGCUCCUGCAUUUGAUGGGAUGUGAUCGGGCGGCUCCGCAACUUACUUCAAAGGCAUUUUCCUCUGGGCGAUUGGACGGGAUUCUCCUCUGCCCUGAAGGUGUCCUCUUCCUUUCCGAGCUUAAGCUGCUCCCCAGUCAGGUGAUUUUCCCGUGUCCUAGGAAUAUAGUGGACACGAAACCCCAGGAAGCAUAACCAAGAUGCCUUAUGCCUCCUUCUCUUUUCCUUCGUUCUGUACUCCAGAACUCAGUUUCAGUUUUAGGGUUGUUGGGUUUUUUUUUGUUUGUUUUGUUUUUUUAACCUCAAAACAUCUGCAGCUUAAGUUGCAAGGCUGGACCGGGCUCAGUUUUACUUGCCUCUCAGUGGGGCGGGGCUAUCUCUCCGCCAGUGAAAGCCUAGGGCCACCCCGAAGUAGUCCUGCCAAGAAUCUGAGAAUUACCUGCCUGCGGAGUAGCUGGUGAGACAGAUGGGUGCUGCAUGGAAACUUGACGUGAUUACGGCGACUCUGAUGUGAUUCGAAGGACUCCCCUGGGUGAAAUCCUCAGAUCUCUUUACCUUCCUUCGCACUCAUCCACCUACUCACCCCCAGUGACUGAAACCUCAGUGCCUAAAAGCGUUAGAAGUCUCUCCAAAGCAGCUUCUCUGAUCCAGCAGACAAGGAUGAAAAGAAAUCAAGUAUUUUUAUUACUGAAGUUGUUGAAGGAGGUGCAGCCCACACACUUGGAUGAGAACUGGAAUUUGUUGUUGUGGCAUUGGAAAAAAAUAAUAGAAGAUUGUAAAUGUAGAAAAGACCUCAAAGCUAUCUAUGACAAGGUGAGACUACAGUUCCUAUAUACUUCCUUCUCCCCACUAAUGAAAUUUUAUUGAAUGUUGGUUCUGUUCACAAUAGUGAAAGUGGUAGAAUACAGCUAGUGAGAAUGAUUACCAAAGUUAUGAAUAAAAGCCCAUAAUAAUGCAUGUGAGAUAAAUGUUUCCUGUUUCAGACAUUCCCUUGAACAGGCCAAAUAGUCAUUUUGAAUUUUACUAAAAACAUUUAUUGGCUUACCAGGGCUUCUUUCAUAAAUGGUGAGUUGACCAAAAUUUGUAUAUCACUAUUCUAUGCCUGGUUUUAUUUGUCACUUAUGAGACAAUUUAGUAUGGAAACCAUUUGGGAACUCCAGUCUUAUAACUCAUCCACUGCUAAUACAUGAAUUAUUUCAAAUCCCCCAGGCAGCAUGUCUGCUUGAUUGAAAGUGAUCAUCUGGGAUACCCUUCUUCCUUGUUUUCCACCUCCAUCUCAGCUAUUAAUUACUCUUACGUCUUGGAUAAGAAGGUAUUCAGCAACUUUCUUCCUCAUAAUUGUGACAAGGAAAUCACUUUAAAAGACUGAUAUAUAUUAAUUUAAGGUCGCCAAGGAAUUCAGCUAUGUAAUUCCUAAAUGAAAACUCAAGUCAGCAGUCAAUCUUUUAUGGAGUUUAAUUACAAUAGGAGGAAGAAAGGAAUUAGAGAUAGAGAGAGAGAAAAAUGGAGAGAAGGGAAUAGGGCUUAAAUACCCCUUCUGUUUAGGCUGGGCCAAAAGGCCCAAGCCCUUAGAUAGCUGGGGCAAAGAAAAGAGAUCAGUCCCUAUUACUCACGUGACCAAAAUGGAGAAACAGUCUCAGAGGCCCCCACCUUCAGCUUCCUUCAGAGCAAGCUUCUCAGAGGACACCCCCACCACUCAGACAAACUCCUCAACCACCUCCUCGAGUCUUCAGACCCCCCUAUCCUUAAGGAAACCAUCCAAGUUCCCUCCCCUCAGUCCUCACAUCUACCAAUCACCUGUCCAUCAAUUUCUCUGUGCCAAUGGAGGCUCUAGCUUAACCCAGGACCGCCCAGAGGUUUCUGGCUUUGCACAUGUCUGUUGAAGGUCAUAUUUUCAAAUAAUUAAAUCUUUGAUCCUUUGCUACAGCCCUUUCUAAAUCCUGUUAACCUGAGUAGGGUAGAGAUUGAAAUAAUUAAAUUUUGAUCUAGGCUGCAGCCCUUACUCAAUCCUGUUAGGACUGAAUAGGGUGGAGAUUGAUUCCAAGUAUCUCCAUUGUAUCAAUUCUAAAAUCAAUCAUGACUCAAAGAAAUUCCUGUUCUAUGCUUAAGCAUAGGUCAAAGUCCUUUCCAUUGUUCAGCAAAGGGUUUCUGUCCUAAAGUAAUCUUAAGAAGGUAGGAGAAGGAAUCUCCCAUGCCAAUGGGGUUCACAUUCCAAUAGUCAAGACCCACUAUCAAUAGGAAAUUUUUCAAGUAUGAAAUUUCCCAAUGGUGAAAUUUCCAACAUUUAUAAGUCUAAGAAAUUUUGAGGUUUACAUAAUGUGAUGGAGGCCCAUGAGGCUUUACUAUUUUCUCUAUAAAAGAGACUCUGAAAUCCAUUGAAUGCAGAUUGUAACAUGUAUUUUCCUCUAAUUUUAUUUAUUGCAUGGUCAUUGUAACUACUAAUUCAAAGUAUCUCUGGCUAUAUACAAUGCACUACUAAACACUAGAGACAUAAUGAGAAAAACAAAACAAAAAACUAGACAUUUUCUUUUCUUGAAAUGAAGACCUGUAUUGAAACCCUCCUCCUCAUGUCCAUCCUGGAAUAUUUGAAGCUCACUGUCUACUGAUUGUAGCCUCUUGCCAGCGAGAAGCCACAAGAUAAGAAAGAUAAAGAAAGGAUAGUAUUUUAGGAUUCUGCAAAGGGCGUGAUGGAGCCAAGUUCAAGAUGUCAGAAAUGAGUCAGAAACUAGGCUGUAUUGAUUACAAUGGAGCCGCAGCCAUACUCCAACCACUGGACCUCUUUCAAAAAGGCUAAUUCUGUCCAGUGAUCCAAAUUUAAUACCACACCAGUCAGAGGAUGAUAUAGCUUAGCUGGGAGAAUAAACAGAGUAUAGUAGGAUGAAUUAGAGAGUGCUAGAUAUUAGCAUUGGAAAAGAAAGAGGCCUGGCCAAAGGCCAGGUUUCAGGUGAGAGAUAGAGAGAAGAGAGAAGAGAGAAUAGAUAGUGUUAAGCAAUCCUGUGAGGUCUCCGAGAGAGAGAGAGAGA